This 229-nucleotide non-coding RNA is filed under the name Lasius niger. RNAcentral describes it as "Bacterial large subunit ribosomal RNA". It matches the Rfam family "Bacterial large subunit ribosomal RNA", at positions 2653 to 2912 of the family's 2925-position model. The record is from Rfam by way of RNAcentral. Lineage: Eukaryota; Metazoa; Arthropoda; Insecta; Hymenoptera; Formicidae.
GUAAGGAUUAAUUCUUAAUUAAAACCUAGUACGAGAGGAUCGGGGCUAGUGAACCAAUAGUGUACCUGGUUACAGGGAAGCCACGUUCACGAAGGAUAACUACUGAAAGCAUAUAAAGUAGGAAACCAAUAAGAAAAAAUUCUUAAAAGAGUCGGACAAGACUAGUCCGUUAUUAGGCCAACUAAUAGAAUUAAUGUAAAUUAAAGUGAAGUGGUACUAAGGAACUCGA